ACUCAUCACCCUGUGACAUACCUAAACGUUGCUUCGGCGGGAACAGACGGCCCCGUGAAACGGGCCGCCCCCGCCAGAGGACCCCUAACUCUGUUUCUAUAAUGUUUCUUCUGAGUAAAACAAGCAAAUAAAUUAAAACUUUCAACAACGGAUCUCUUGGCUCUGGCAUCGAUGAAGAACGCAGCGAAAUGCGAUAAGUAAUGUGAAUUGCAGAAUUCAGUGAAUCAUCGAAUCUUUGAACGCACAUUGCGCCCGCCAGUAUUCUGGCGGGCAUGCCUGUUCGAGCGUCAUUACAACCCUCAGGCCCCCGGGCCUGGCGUUGGGGAUCGGCGGAGCCCCCCGUGGGCACACGCCGUCCCCCAAAUACAGUGGCGGUCCCGCCGCAGCUUCCAUCGCGUAGUAGCUAACACCUCGCGACUGGAGAGCGGCGCGGCCACGCCGUAAAACACCCAACUCUUCUGAAGUUGACCUCGAAUCAGGUAGGAAUACCCGCUGAACUUAAGCAUAUCA
Molecule: ribosomal RNA, 510 nt
Filed under: Fusarium solani
Lineage: Eukaryota; Fungi; Ascomycota; Sordariomycetes; Hypocreales; Nectriaceae
Description: eukaryotic LSU rRNA
Rfam family: 5.8S ribosomal RNA (bases 137-290)
Source: RNAcentral